UUGGAGGGCAAGUCUGGUGCCAGCAGCCGCGGUAAUUCCAGCUCCAAUAGCGUAUAUUAAAGUUGUUGCAGUUAAAAAGCUCGUAGUUGAAUUUCGAGAUCAAAUUGUUGGUCGUGCCUUGGUACGUACUGACAUUAUUGGUUUCUCCCUUCUGAAGAACCAUGAUGUCAUUAAUUUGGUGUCAUGGGGAAUCAGGACUGUUACUUUGAAAAAAUUAGAGUGUUUAAAGCAGGCUCGCGCUUGAAUACAUUAGCAUGGAAUAAUGAAAUAGGACGUUUAAUUCUAUUUUGUUGGUUUCUAGGAUUGACGUAAUGAUUAAUAGGGAUAGUUGGGGGCAUUAGUAUUCAAUUGUCAGAGGUGAAAUUCUUGGAUUUAUUGAAGACUAACUACUGCGAAAGCAUUUGCCAAGGAUGUUUUCAUUAAUCAAGAACGAAAGUUAGGGGAUCGAAGACGAUCAGAUACCGUCGUAGUCUUAACCAUAAACUAUGCCGACUAGGGAUCGGAUGAUGUUAAUUUUUUAAUGACUCAUUCGGCGCCUUACGGGAAAC
Molecule: ribosomal RNA, 548 nt
Filed under: uncultured Glomus
Lineage: Eukaryota; Fungi; Glomeromycota; Glomeromycetes; Glomerales; Glomeraceae
Description: SSU rRNA
Rfam family: Eukaryotic small subunit ribosomal RNA
Source: RNAcentral